AAUGAUGCAACCCGUUAUUUUUCGUUUCUUUUUUUACUUUAGCACCUGAUUUGAGGAGGCUUGCGCGUAAGAAAAGAAACGAAAAGUAGCGCCUAAGCCUCCCGCAGUGGAGGCUUUUUUGUU
Molecule: non-coding RNA, 123 nt
Organism: Yersinia ruckeri
Lineage: Bacteria; Pseudomonadati; Pseudomonadota; Gammaproteobacteria; Enterobacterales; Yersiniaceae
Source: Rfam